This 486-nucleotide ribosomal RNA is filed under the name uncultured bacterium. RNAcentral describes it as "bacterial SSU rRNA". It matches the Rfam family "Bacterial small subunit ribosomal RNA", at positions 897 to 1382 of the family's 1533-position model. The record is from RNAcentral.
AAACUUAAGGAAUUGACGGGGCCCGCACAAGCGGUGGAGUAUGUGGUUUAAUUCGAAGCAACGCGAAGAACCUUACCAGGUCUUGACAUCCCCUGACAACCCGAGAGAUCGGGCGUUCCCCUUCGGGGGACAGGGUGACAGGUGGUGCAUGGUUGUCGUCAGCUCGUGUCGUGAGAUGUUGGGUUAAGUCCCGCAACGAGCGCAACCCCUGUGGUUAGUUGCCAGCAAGUAGCGUUGGGCACUCUAGCCAGACUGCCGGUGAUAAAUCGGAGGAAGGUGGGGACGACGUCAAAUCAUCAUGCCCUUUAUGUCCUGGGCUACACACGUACUACAAUGGCCGUUACAACGGGAAGCGAAGGAGCAAUCCGGAGCAAAUCCCUUAAAGGCGGUCCCAGUUCAGAUUGUGGGCUGAAACUCGCCCACAUGAAGGCGGAAUUGCUAGUAAUUGCAGAUCAGCAUGCUGCAGUGAAUACGUUCCCGGGCCUU